AUGGACUUGUACCCCACGUCAGGAGCCAAGGGAGGUGCUCAUGAGGGUGGGGGUGCCCCCUGGGCGCGCCCCCUGCCUCGUGGGACCCCCGUAGCUCCACCGACGUACUUCCUGCACCCAUAUAUACCUACGUACCCAAAAACUUCCAGAAAAGAACCUAGAUCGGGAGUUCCGCGGCCGCAAGCCACCAAAGCCACCAAAAACCAAUCGGGACCCUAUUCCGGCACCCUACCGGAGGGGGAUCCCAUCACCGGAGGCCAUCUUCAUCAUCUCGGCGCUAUCCAUGACGAGGAGGGAGUAGUUAACCCUCGGGGCUGA
Molecule: ribosomal RNA, 318 nt
Filed under: Triticum aestivum (bread wheat)
Lineage: Eukaryota; Viridiplantae; Streptophyta; Magnoliopsida; Poales; Poaceae
Description: partial small subunit ribosomal RNA
Source: RNAcentral